UAGGGAAUCUUCCGCAAUGGACGAAAGUCUGACGGAGCAACGCCGCGUGAGUGAAGAAGGAUUUCGGUUCGUAAAACUCUGUUGUUAGGGAAGAAAAAAUGUAUAGUAACUAUAUACAAAAGAGACGGUACCUAACCAGAAAGCCACGGCUAACUACGUGCCAGCAGCCGCGGUAAUACGUAGGUGGCAAGCGUUGUCCGGAAUUAUUGGGCGUAAAGCGCGCGCAGGUGGUUUAGAAAGUCUGAUGUGAAAGCCCACGGCUCAACCGUGGAGGGUCAUUGGAAACUAAUAAACUUGAGUGCAGGAGAGAAAAGUGGAAUUCCUAGUGUAGCGGUGAAAUGCGUAGAGAUUAGGAGAAACACCGGUGGCGAAAGCGGCUUUUUGGCCUGCAACUGACACUGAGGCGCGAAAGCGUGGGGAGCAAACAGG
Molecule: ribosomal RNA, 429 nt
Filed under: Verrucomicrobiota bacterium
Lineage: Bacteria; Pseudomonadati; Verrucomicrobiota
Description: Verrucomicrobia bacterium partial 16S ribosomal RNA
Rfam family: Bacterial small subunit ribosomal RNA
Source: RNAcentral